This is a non-coding RNA of Acanthosepion pharaonis, 104 nucleotides long. The record is from the annotation of a GenBank genome assembly. Lineage: Eukaryota; Metazoa; Mollusca; Cephalopoda; Sepiida; Sepiidae.
UUGCGGCCACAUCACGUUGAAACACCGGUUCCUGUAAGUUAAGCAACAUCUAGCGUGGUCAGUACCUAGAUGGGUGACCGCUUGGGAAUACCAGGUGCUGCACG